AGUGAACGCUGGCGGUAGGCCUAACACAUGCAAGUCGAACGGCAGCACAGUAAGAGCUUGCUCUUACGGGUGGCGAGUGGCGGACGGGUGAGGAAUACAUCGGAAUCUACUUUUUCGUGGGGGAUAACGUAGGGAAACUUACGCUAAUACCGCAUACGACCUACGGGUGAAAGCAGGGGAUCUUCGGACCUUGCGCGAAGGAAUGAGCCGAUGUCGGAUUAGCUAGUUGGCGGGGUAAAGGCCCACCAAGGCGACGAUCCGUAGCUGGUCUGAGAGGAUGAGUGGCCACCCGGGCAGUGAGAGACGGCCCUGACUCCGACGGGAGGCCGCAGUGGGGAAUAUUGGACAAUGGGGGCAAGCCUAAUACAGCACAACCGCGUGGGUGAAGAAGGACUUCCGGUUGUAAAGUCCUUUUGUUGGGAAAGAAAAACAGCAGUUUAAUACCCCGCUGUUCUGACGGUACCCAAAGAAUAAGCACCGGCUAACUUCGUG
RNAcentral lists this ribosomal RNA (492 nucleotides) under uncultured bacterium. RNAcentral's name for it is "partial 16S ribosomal RNA". It matches the Rfam family "Bacterial small subunit ribosomal RNA", at positions 29 to 507 of the family's 1533-position model. The record is from RNAcentral.